This is an RNA transcript of Mesoplodon densirostris (Blainville's beaked whale), 2881 nucleotides long. It is a transcript of the gene named HHIP like 1, with no coding region annotated. The record is from RefSeq and is a predicted model, not a curated record. NCBI's taxonomy places the organism in Eukaryota, Metazoa, Chordata, Mammalia, Artiodactyla, Ziphiidae. The transcript is spliced from 10 exons.
AUGGCGGGCCGGCGGGCCGGGGCCGGGACCGGGGUCCGGACGCUGCUGGCGCUGCUGGCGCUGCGGGCGCUCGGCGCCGCGGCGCACCCACAGUGCCUGGACUUCAGGCCGCCCUUCCGGCCGCCGCAGCCGCUGCGCUUCUGCGCGCAGUACUCGGCCUUCGGCUGCUGCGCUCCCGAGCACGACGCGGCGCUGGCCCGGCGCUUCGGGGCCCUGGCGGCGCGCGUGGACGCCGCGAUUUGGGCCGAGUGCGCCGGCUACGCGCUUGACCUGCUGUGCCAGGAAUGCUCGCCAUAUGCGGCCCACCUCUACGACGCGGAGGAUCCAUCCACACCCCUGAGGACCGUGCCCGGGCUCUGCGAGGACUACUGCCUGGACCUGUGGCAGUCGUGCCGGGUCCUCUUCCGCCACCUGUCGCCCGACCGCGAGCUCUGGACGCUGGAGGGCAACCGCGCCAAGUUCUGCCGCUACCUGUCCCUGGACGACACGGACUACUGCUUCCCGCGCCUGCUGGUCAACGAGAACCUCAACUCCAACCUGGGCCGUGUGGUGGCCGACGCCAUGGGCUGCCUGCAGCUGUGCCUGGAGGAGGUGGCCAAUGGGCUGCGCAACCCCGUGGCCAUGGUCCACGCCCGGGAUGGCUCCCACCGCUUCUUCGUGGCCGAGCAGCUGGGGCUGGUGUGGGUCUACCUGCCCGACCGCUCGCGGCUGGAGAAGCCCUUCCUGAACAUCAGCCGGGCCGUGCUCACCUCGCCCUGGGAGGGUGAUGAGCGGGGCUUCCUGGGCCUCGCCUUCCACCCUGGCUUCCGGCACAAUGGCAAGCUCUACGUCUACUACUCAGUGGGUGUGGGCUUCCACGAGUGGAUACGCAUCAGCGAGUUCAGGGUCUCAGCGGAGGAUGUGAACGCUGUGGACCACGACUCGGAGAGGAUCAUCCUGGAGAUCGAAGAACCAGCCUCGAACCAUAAUGGGGGCCAGCUGCUCUUUGGGGAUGAUGGGUACCUCUACAUCUUUACUGGAGAUGGCGGGAUGGCUGGAGACCCCUUUGGAAAGUUUGGAAAUGCUCAAAACAAGUCGGCGCUGCUGGGCAAGGUGCUGCGCAUCGACGUGAACCGCAACGAGCGCGGCCCCCUCUACCGCAUCCCGUCCGACAACCCGUUCGUGGGCGACCCCGCCGCGCGGCCAGAGGUCUACGCCCUCGGGGUGCGCAACAUGUGGCGCUGCUCCUUCGACCGCGGCGACCCGGCGUCGGGCGCGGGCCGCGGGCGCCUCUUCUGUGGCGACGUGGGCCAGAACAAGUUCGAGGAGGUGGACCUGGUGGAGCGCGGCCGCAACUACGGCUGGCGCGCCCGCGAGGGCUUCGAGUGCUACGACCGCAAGCUGUGCGCCAACACCUCCCUCGAUGAUGUGCUGCCGAUUUUCGCCUACCCGCACAAACUGGGCAAGUCGGUCACUGGGGGCUACGUGUACCGGGGCUGCGAGUACCCGAACCUGAACGGCCUCUACAUUUUCGGAGACUUCAUGAGCGGGCGCCUGAUGUCCCUCCGAGAGAACCUGGGGACAGGCCAGUGGCGGUACAACGAGAUCUGCAUGGGCCGUGGCCAGACCUGUGCGUUCCCGGGCCUCAUCAACAACUACUAUCCACACAUCAUCUCCUUCGCGGAGGACGAGGCCGGGGAGCUGUACUUCAUGUCAACGGGCGUGCCGAGUGCCACAGUAGCACGUGGGGUUGUCUACAAAGUGAUCGACCCCUCCAGACGGGCACCACCCGGCAAGUGUCAGAUCCGAGCCGCCCACGUGAAGGUCCGGGGCCGCCUCAUCCACUUCGUGCCCAAAGAAAAGUUCAUCCGGAGGACGGAGAGCACCCCGCGGCCCACGGCGCCCGCGCCCACCAAGGCUCCCCGCCGCAGCCGCCCCACGGCCGCUCCACUCGCGCCCACUCCGCGGCCGGCACGACCCACCCCGCGGCCGGCACGACCCACCACGAGGCCCGGGCGCCGUCGGGGCGGCGGGCGGCGGCGGGGACGGUUGGGCACCGCGGUCCCCGAGCCCUCGAACGGCGCCGUGCGCCUGGUGCGGCCCGCGGGCCUGAGUCCAGGCCGCGGGCGUGUGGAGGUGUUCGCGGGCGGACGCUGGGGCACCGUGUGCGAUGACGCCUGGGACACCAAGGGCGCCGCCGUCGUGUGCCGCCAGCUGGGCUUCGCGUACGCCGUGCGGGCCGCCAAGCGUGCCGAGUUCGGCGAGGGUCACACGCUGCCCAUCCUGCUGGACGACGUGCGCUGCACAGGCAGUGAACGCAACCUGCUGGAGUGCGCGCAUGCCGGCCUGGGUUCCCACAACUGCGACCACCAGGAGGAUGCCGGCGUCGUGUGCAGCCGCGAGGACCCCAAUCUGUAGGCGAGCAUCGUCUGUCUGUCUGGCCGGCCGGGCUGUCCAUCGUGCAUCCGGAGCCCGUCCACCCUGUGCGCGCCUGGCACCCCUGACGCUGCGGACAAAAAAAUGUUGCCUGCCAUCCUGGUGAACGAUGAAUGUUGCCCGCCAUCAAGCCAUCAGCCACCGCAGCCACCUGCUAUGGUGCGCCCUGAGGGGAAUUCAGGAUGGAGAAAAACUGGAUACUGGCCCUGAUAGUUAAGAUGCAUGUCUAAGGAAUAAUUUCAAUGAGCCCAGACUCUUACAUCUUCAGCACUAAAAUCAUUAACUUGAGAUGUCUGGUUUUUGUGAUUAGCAGUAAUCUUUUGAUGUUUGACUACAUGUUUUUUAUUUUCAGCAAAAACUCCUAUAUAUGUAUCCUGGCUCCACCCUGACCUCUUUGGAACAGUUCCCGAGCUAUCUGAGAGGCUGUCUCCCAGGCUAUAGUCCUCAGCAAUGUCCCCAAAUAAAA